UUAUUAAGGGGGGAUCAAGGGGGGAUCAACGCCCCCCUUAUUAAGGGGGGAUCAAGGGGGGAUCAACGCCCCCCUUAUUAAG
Molecule: transfer RNA, 82 nt
Filed under: Microcystis aeruginosa NIES-298
Lineage: Bacteria; Bacillati; Cyanobacteriota; Cyanophyceae; Chroococcales; Microcystaceae
Also listed under: 2 other names
Description: tRNA-Asn
Source: RNAcentral